GGAAAGUAAAGUGGAUUAAAAUAACAAAAAGCCCCACGAGCUGAACUCUCUGGGGAGGAGAGGGGGCGCUAUUUGGAUCUGGUGAUGGGAGCAAGGAGGAAGGAGAGAGAAAAAUGAAGAAAAGCGCAUCACCAGAGUGCAAGGAGGAAGGAGAGAAGAAAAAGAAAGAAAAGAAAAAAGAAGAGCCAAUCACCAGAGAGCAACAAGGAAGGAGAGAAAAACAAAUAAAACAAAAAGUCCACUGGAAAGGACGUUGGGUGCAGAAAGAAAUAAGAGAAAAAAAAUAAAAGAAAGAAAGUGACG
Molecule: long non-coding RNA, 303 nt
Filed under: Theobroma cacao (cacao)
Lineage: Eukaryota; Viridiplantae; Streptophyta; Magnoliopsida; Malvales; Malvaceae
Description: long non-coding RNA (TCAC_LNC000858)
Source: RNAcentral